CAAAAAAAUUAUUUUUUAAAAAGAUAAAUAAAUAAAAAUUAAUAUUUAAAAUUGAUAAAUUAAAUAAAUUUAAAUUCAGUUAUAUUAAUUAGAAUUAAUGAAAUUUGUGCCAGCAAUUGCGGUUAUACAAAAAAUUCAAAUAAAAUAAUUUUAAUUUAAAAAUAAUGAAAUUAUAAUAAAAAAAUUUUUAAUAAAAUAUAUAAUAUAAUAAUAAUUUUUUAAGAUAAAAUUUAUAAAAUUAAUUAUUUAAUUUUAAUUAGAAUUUAUUUGAUAAAAAUUUAAAUUAAACUAGGAUUAGAUACCCUAUUAUAAAAUUAAUAAAAUUUUAAAUUAAUUAGUAAUAUAUAAUUUAUUGAAAAUUAAAGAAUUUGGCGGUAUUUUAAUCAAUUUAGAGGAACUUGUAGUGUAAUUGAUAAUCCACGAUUUUAUAAACUUAAUUUAAAAAUUUUGAAAAUUUGUAUAUCGUUGUUAAAAAAAUAUUUUUAAAAAAAAAUUGAAUAUUUAAUAAUUUUAAAAUAAAAUUAAAUCAAAUCAAGAUACAGUUUAUAGUUAAGAAACUUAUGAGUUACAUGUAAAUUAAUUUAUUGGAAAAUGUAAUUUUGAAAAAAAAAUAUGUUAAAUUGGAUUUAAAAGUAAAUUUAUUAAUAUAUUUAUAUUGAAUAAAGUUUUAAAAUAUGUACAUAUUGCCCGUCGCUCUGAUAUAUAAAUAUUAAUUAAUAUAAUUAAUAUUUAAAAUUGAGAUAAGUCGUAACAUAGUAGAGAUAUUGGAAAAUGUUUCUGGAAUGAA
RNAcentral lists this non-coding RNA (787 nucleotides) under Arctopsyche spinescens. The record is from RNAcentral. Lineage: Eukaryota; Metazoa; Arthropoda; Insecta; Trichoptera; Hydropsychidae.